RNA transcript from Ochotona princeps (American pika), 797 nucleotides. It is a transcript of the gene named E3 ubiquitin-protein ligase RNF126-like, with no coding region annotated. Lineage: Eukaryota; Metazoa; Chordata; Mammalia; Lagomorpha; Ochotonidae. The record is from RefSeq and is a predicted model, not a curated record. The transcript has a single exon.
AAUUCUGACCAGAGCCAGAGCCGGCAGCCCUUCGAGAACGUGGAGCAGCCACCUCUGCUCGCACUGCCGCAGGGCUACGGGCACUUUGCUUUCGGCAUCUUUGACAACAGCUUUGAGAUCCCCACCUUCCCUCCCGGGGCACAGGCGGACGACGGCAGGGACCCCGAGAGCCGGCGGGAGCGAGAACACCGUCCCGGCACCGCUAUGGCGCCCGCCAGCCCCGCCCGCCUCACUGCUCGGCGGGCCACCGGCCGGCACGAAGGCAUCCCCACGCUGGAAGGGAUCAUCCAGCAGCUGGUGAAAAGCAUCAUCACCCCGGCCACCAUCCCCAGCCUGGGCCUGGGCCCCUGGGGCGUCCUGCACUCGAACCCAAUGGACUACGCCUGGGGGGCCAAUGGGCUGGAUGCCAUUAUCACACAGCUCCUCAAUCAGUUUGAGAGCACGCCCCCCGCCCCCGGCCGACAAGGAGAGGAUCCAGGCCCUGCCCACCGUGCCCGUCACGCAGGAGCACGUAGGCUCCGGGCUCGAGUGCCCGAGUGCCCCGUGUGCAAGGACGACUAUGUGCUGGGGGAGUGCGUGCGGCAGCUGCCCUGCAACCAUCUCUUCCACGACGGCUGCAUCGUGCCCUGGCUGUAGCAGCACGACAGCUGCCCCUUGUGCCGCAAAAGCCUCACAGGACAGAACACGGCCACGAACCCCCCCCGCCCCCGGGCCUGAGCGGGGUGGGCUUCUCCUCUUCGUCGUCCUCCUCCUCGUCCAGCUCGUCCAGCAAUGAGCACGCCAGCGGCACCUCCUGA